Molecule: ribosomal RNA, 298 nt
Filed under: uncultured Planctomycetota bacterium
Lineage: Bacteria; Pseudomonadati; Planctomycetota
Description: uncultured planctomycete partial 16S ribosomal RNA
Rfam family: Bacterial small subunit ribosomal RNA
Source: RNAcentral
ACUCCUCGAAAGGGGAGCUAAUACCGCAUAAGACCACGAUCUCCUCGGGGGUUGAGGUCAAAGGUAGCCUCAAUCAACAGAGUGUUUGGGACGGCCUUUCGUCAUCGGAGGGUGGUCCUCAACACUUUGGACGAUGAAGCUGCUGCUUGAAGACGGGCUCCCGGGGGAUCAGCUGGGUGAUGAGGUAACGGCCCACCAAGGAUUCGACGGUUAGGGGGUCUGAGAGGGUGACCCCCCACACGGGUAUUGAAACACGGUCCAGACCUCUCAGGAGGCAGCAGUGGGGAAUCUUGGGCAA